AUGCGGGCAGGUGUGCGGCUCCCACUACUUGACCUUCCCGUCCGUGGUCGGCUACACGCUCCCCUACGCGUGGGUGGGCAACUCGGCAGGGCGGUGCCCGGAGGUGUGCGCCUACCCGUUCGCCAUCCCGGCCUACGUGCCGGGGCGCCGGCCCGAGGCGCCGCCCAACGGCGACGCGGGGGUGGACGGCAUGGUGAGCGUCAUCGCGCACGAGCUGGCGGAGAUGGCGUCCAACCCGCUGGCCAACGCGUGGUACGCCGGCGGGGACCCCUCCUUCCCCACCGAGAUCGCCGACCUCUGAGAGGGGCAUCUACGGCACCGGCGGUGGCGGUGCGUACACCGGCCAGCUGCUCACUGACGGGCGGUCCGGCGCGUCGUACAACCUGA
RNAcentral lists this ribosomal RNA (387 nucleotides) under Triticum aestivum (bread wheat). Its description in RNAcentral is "partial small subunit ribosomal RNA". Lineage: Eukaryota; Viridiplantae; Streptophyta; Magnoliopsida; Poales; Poaceae. The record is from RNAcentral.